Long non-coding RNA from Armigeres subalbatus, 3308 nucleotides. RefSeq lists it as uncharacterized. The record is from RefSeq and is a predicted model, not a curated record. The transcript is spliced from 2 exons. NCBI's taxonomy places the organism in Eukaryota, Metazoa, Arthropoda, Insecta, Diptera, Culicidae.
UUUUUUUGUUAAUAACGGUCAGGGGAGCACCGUGAGAUUUGUUUCGGAAUUCCUUGAAGAUUUAUUUCAAAAUAAUUCUACGAUUUGCUUCGGAUUCCCUCGAAUAUUUAAUUCGGAGUUCCUCAAUGAUUUGAUUCGAAAUCCCUCGACGAAUUACUGCAGAAUCAAUUGACGAUUCGUUUCGAAAUCCUUCGAUGACUUGUUUCGGAAUUCUCUAACGAUUUGCUUGUACAUGCCUGGAGGAUUCCCUUUGGAAUCACAGGAAGUUUCUUUACGGAAUCCCUGGAGGAUUAAUUCGGAGCCUCAUGAUUUGCUUCGGGAUCAUUCGAAAGAUUGCAUCGGAAUUCUUCGACUAUUUGCUUCUACAUCAUGAAACAUAGCCUAGAAUUCAUGGAGGAUUUCCGACGGAAUCUCUAGAACAUUUCCGUCGGAGUUCCUGUAAUAUUCACGUCGGAAUUUCUUGAGAAUUCCAUUCGGAAUCUCUUGAAAAUUCUCAUUGGAAUCCCUGAAAUAUGUCCAUCGGUUUCUCUCAAAUAUUCCCUUCAUAAUCGCUGGAAUUCCCGUUGGAAUUCCUGGAACAUUCCCGUCGGAAUCUCUGCAGGAUUCCUGUCGACAUCCCGGGAGGAUUUUGAAUCUCUGGAACAUUCCCUUCGGACUCCUUGGAGGAAUAUUGCAUUUUUUUUCAUUUAAGAUAGAUAGAAUUUUCAUGAAAUAUGCAAAAAUUCACUGCCUCGGUUGGAGCCUGACGGUGAUCCAUCACAUAUUGUCCUUUGGAUGUGCGGGACAAAGCCGAGCGCUACUACACUUAGACGCAAUAGCCACACGCUACCAAUUUGAGUCGUUGUAGCAAUCAUCGGCAAGUAAGCAAACACGCUUCAAUACUGUGGGCUACAACAGAAAGCACGUGCUUGAGAGAAUUUGGAUGAGAAUGAUUGAUAUGCAAUUGCCUUAGGUGGUUGAACCGUAUUUAUCACAUUAUCACUAAGAUUACUUAAUGAGGUGGUAACAUGUUCGAGAAAUUUUGAAAAGAAGCUCAAAAUAGAGAAAAUAGAUGAAGGGGUGAUUUGGAAAAUCAUAUAGCGCGUCUGCGAAACUGCCAAAAGAAAAGGGUUGACGAUCUAGAAAAUCCCAGGGUAAGUCCUGGAGGCAUAGGUUUUAGUUGAAAUAAUUUUUUUUUAAUUUUUUACAAUUGACAGUGUACAUGAGGCCACAAGUUAAGCUUUUUCUAAUGAACGCUUGAUCAGUCGGGUCAAAUUUGUUUAAAGUCCCACCCAACACCAGGACUAGGCUAGUGCGAUAGUGAUAGGGCCUUCUUGCGGUUACAUGCAGCUUUUUAUAGAAGUUCAACAGAGCCCACCGUCAAACUCCACCACACCCUAGGCAAACCCCACAGGACGCACCCUCUUACUCUAGCUGAUAUGGUCAGAAGGACAACAGUGCCCAGGCUACACCAACAGCUAAGUACGCAACCCUUAGCUGGUGGUCAAUUGUCAUCGGAAGACCCGUGAAAACGUGAGAAUGGGAACUUGUUUCUUGCGCCUAUUAUGGACCGCCUAUCUGUUGGGCUGCCAAAUUGAGAAACAGGUCGCCUACUACGAUGCACGUGGGCUGUGGUGUCGCGCAUGGCAUUCUAUAGGGCACUGCGCGGACUGCUUUGUCUCUUGAUCGCUGCAAAUAAAUUAGAAAACAACAAGGCAAGAAUUGUCAAAAUUUAAUUUUGGACUGAAAAUAGAGAAAAACAUCAUUCCUCAUUAAUAAAACACAUGUCUCAAGAAUUGUCAGGCCAAAGCUUGGAAAACUAAUGCAAAGACGAAUGAAGAGUAUCGGCGUUGAGAUACUCCUGGUAAUCAGUUUCACAGUGAUUGUCCAGGUUGCAACUUGAAGCAAAUCAAUUCCAUCAAUAGCCUAAAGGAUUCAGUUUGCAAACUGAACUGAAAGAACAAAAUUAUAUGUAUGAGCAUUAACAUCAAGUUACACUUUAUCAUAUAUCAAAUGGCGUAAUCUGAAUAGGUUAUAAUGCGUAAAAUAUUUUAUAACGAAAGUAAAACUAAUGAUCCGAAAUCCAUAAUAUUGUGUUUGAUAUCAAGGUUUUUCAAAUAUCUUGCAAUAUUUCAUCUAAUACUGCGCUAUUAACAUGCAAUACUUGAAUUUCAAGUCGAGUCAACAUAUUAUUGGUUUAAUCUAUUCACAUAUUAUUUCAUAAAUACAACGAGAUCAUGAUAUCGCUAAUUACCUAUCCAAUCGUUCAUUCUCAAUCAACUUACUUAAACACAUUUGACUUCUCCAUUAUAUAUUACCAUUGUACCUCACCCAAGAAUCCACCAAAGUUUUAUCCUAUGACGUUUACGUUGUUGACAGAAGAUAGAUCAAAACCAAAUUCAAUGCAUUUAUGUAUAUUUAUGAUAGACUAAUGUUUAGGGGUCGUCUGUUAAAUAAACUCUACAAAUUAAUAUUCAUCUACUAUUAAAACGCACUAGCAACAAUAACACAUAACCUUGUACUUAGGAGGCUUUUCUAUAAAACAGUUCUAGAAUUGAUUCUAGGUCGACUUUAUAGAUCCGUAUGGUCUAGAUAUACACGUAGCUACCAUUUAUUUAGAACAAAGAUGAUGAAUAUUAUUCAUAUUAUAUAUACACGAAUCCUUCACCCUAGAAAUCAAAAAUAUAUUUAUCGUAUGGUGUACGUAUUACGAGAUUCAAACGGUAAUUUAUCUUGAAGAUAGAUAUAAUCAACAAAACUUGGAAAUACAAAUCAGGCCAAUACAAAUAUUUUAUAUAAUUUGGAGUUUUCGUCCAUUUAGAAGCUUUUUUUUGAAGAACCUGAAAAAUAAAUAUGAAAUUAUUUUAAGACUACUUAUUAGUGAAAACCGGUGAAAUUGAGAUUUGUUAUCAAUUUUUUUUAUUAUCAUCCAUGUUACGCGUACCUUUAGAUGAAAAUUUGUAUUGGCCUCUUGCACACAACAAUAUUAUGAUUAAUCUUGAAAUAAAGGAAACAAAACUUAUACAAUUAACCCAGCGAAUGUCACGGUGUCUGAUGAUUAUGAUAGCUGAACGAUGUGGAACAAGUUUCAAAGCAGUAGAUAAUUAAAGCGAUAAAACUGAUCAAUUAAUAUAGAAUAUCAAACUAAACUACAAAAGAUAGCAUUUAAAUAGUAUCUGUGCGGCUUCUGGCAAACAUAUGAUAACGAACAACUUAUAAUUGUUAUAACACGUAUGAUGCUGUACCGGUUACUGCAAGUCUAUUGUUAUAUGAACUGAGGUGGAAUAAUAUUGAUAAUAAUAUAAAUAAAAAGCGCUAUCCUUUCUGUA